Molecule: ribosomal RNA, 464 nt
Filed under: uncultured Klebsiella sp.
Lineage: Bacteria; Pseudomonadati; Pseudomonadota; Gammaproteobacteria; Enterobacterales; Enterobacteriaceae
Description: bacterial SSU rRNA
Rfam family: Bacterial small subunit ribosomal RNA
Source: RNAcentral
CCUACGGGCGGCUGCAGUGGGGAAUAUUGCACAAUGGGCGCAAGCCUGAUGCAGCCAUGCCGCGUGUGUGAAGAAGGCCUUCGGGUUGUAAAGCACUUUCAGCGGGGAGGAAGGCGGUGAGGUUAAUAACCUCAUCGAUUGACGUUACCCGCAGAAGAAGCACCGGCUAACUCCGUGCCAGCAGCCGCGGUAAUACGGAGGGUGCAAGCGUUAAUCGGAAUUACUGGGCGUAAAGCGCACGCAGGCGGUCUGUCAAGUCGGAUGUGAAAUCCCCGGGCUCAACCUGGGAACUGCAUUCGAAACUGGCAGGCUAGAGUCUUGUAGAGGGGGGUAGAAUUCCAGGUGUAGCGGUGAAAUGCGUAGAGAUCUGGAGGAAUACCGGUGGCGAAGGCGGCCCCCUGACAAAGACUGACGCUCAGGUGCGAAAGCGUGGGGAGCAAACAGGAUUAGAUACCCUUGUAGUC